UUUAUUUAAAAAUAAAUAUGUACAAAAAUUUCACGCUCUCCAGAAAUUUAUUAACAAAGCCGCUAAGACCUGCAAAGGACCGACCUCCAUCUCCGGCGGCGGUGAUUCCACUACGACACUCUGAGUAACGCCGGUGGACUCACCCUGAAACGCUAGCCCGUGUUCGUCGUUGGGAGGAACUCGGGCUUCUUUCUUGCUUUCAUUGUUGAUAGCGGUUGGGGGCUUCCAUUCCAUUCACAGAUUGUUGCCGCAGCAGCGGACGACGUCGUAUAGCUGCGGCUGAUUGAUCCUACCUUCUAAAGUCCAUUUUUCUUCCUUUUUGUUUUGCUGAUGGUUCACGAAACCAGCGGCUCAUUGGCAAUGGAGUUGGAGAAUGGAGAACAACCUCUGAAUUUGGGAGAUGGGGAUAGCAACGCUCUAAUCUUGACAAAUAACAAGAGGAAUAAGAAGAAUGACAUGAAGCAGUGUAAAAAGCUGAAGAAAAAGGAAGCACCGAAGUUGAGUAAAUCCCAGAAAAGGAAGCUGAAGAAGUUGGCGGAGGACAAGGAAAAAGAAAGUUUGCUCUUAAAAAGUAUUGAGAAUUUGAAGAAAUAUGAAAUUCCAGAGAAUGCAUAUUCUCUUCUGCGGUCAUCUCAUAGUAUUGGUCAGGUCGAAUCUAAGAAGGAAAAACGUAGGAGGACUGUAGAAUUUUCCAAAGCUGGCCUAGAAGUUCCACAUAGUGAUCAAUCAUCUAAGAAAAGGGAUGCUGAGAGUUCUUCAAGUGAGAGUGAGAAUGAGUUAGACCAGGUGCAAUUGAUGUUAGAACAAAGAGUAGUCCUAAACACUGCUGCUUUUCAGUUGGAUUCACCUCAAAAUGUGAACAGUGGAUCUCCUGCUGCCUCACUUGUUGAAAAUCCUUUGAAUGAGGAUAGUGGUACUUGUUUGAGAGAAGACAAAAAUUUUAUACCCGAUGAUAACACAACAAGCACAAACUUAAUGGAUGGGUUAACUAAGAGUGCUAAAACAGAUGAGGUUAUAAAGCCAACUGUAGUGCAUGUAUCAAGGCCAGAUGAGGUUGAGAAUAAGAGAAAGGACCUUCCAAUUAUCAUGAUGGAGCAGGAGAUUAUGGAAGCUAUUAAUUACCACUCAACUGUGAUUAUAUGUGGAGAAACUGGCUGUGGUAAAACAACCCAAGUUCCUCAGUUUCUUUAUGAAGCUGGCUUUGGUUCAACACAGUCUAUUACUCGAAGUGGUAUCAUUGGUAUUACACAACCUCGCCGGGUUGCUGUUCUUGCUACUGCUAAGCGAGUUGCAUAUGAGCUUGGCCUAUCUUUAGGUAAAGAAGUGGGUUUUCAAGUUAGGUAUGACAAGAAGAUUGGUGAUAGUUGCUCAAUCAAGUUCAUGACAGAUGGAAUAUUACUACGAGAACUUCAGAGUGAUUUUUUGUUGAGGAAAUAUUCUGUCAUAAUUCUUGAUGAGGCUCAUGAGAGGAGCUUGAACACAGACAUUCUUAUUGGAAUGCUGUCGCGUGUUAUUCAAGGCCGUGAGAAAAUAUAUACACAACAGCAGAAAUUGGCACUUUCAGGACACAAUACAAGUCCUGAAAAUAGGAUUUUUCCAUUGAAACUUGUGCUGAUGAGUGCCACAUUGCGAGUGGAGGACUUCAUUUCUGGUCAAAGGUUGUUUUGUGAUCCCCCACCUGUACUUGAAGUCCCUACCAGACAGUUUCCAGUAACUGUACACUUCUCAAAAAGAACUGAUGUUGUAGAUUAUAUUGGCCAAGCAUAUAAAAAGGUCCUGGCAAUACACAAGAAUCUGCCACCUGGAGGGAUACUUGUCUUUGUCACUGGACAGAGGGAAGUAGAGUACUUAUGUGGGAAGCUACGUAGAGCUUCAAGGGAAUUGUUAAUGAAUACAUCUAAAGGCAAAAAUGGGAACGAUGACACUCCAGUAUCUGAAAUGAAUUCUGUUGAGGGAAUAAACAUGGAAGAUAUUAAUGAAGCUUUUGAUGUUCAGGUACAUUCAGCGGAACAGCAAACUGACAGAUUCAGCUCAAACGAUGAUGAAAAUCAGUUUGAUAUAGAUGAGGACGAGUUGGACUUAUCAUAUGAUUCAGGAACAGAGAGUGAACUGGAAAUUAUCAAUGAUGAUGGGGAUCCAAUGCACCAUGGUAGUGAUAUUGUAGAUGUGUUUGGGAAGAAUGGGAAUCUUGCAUCACUGAAGGCUGCUUUUGAAGAGUUGGCUGGACAGACUACUUUAAACUCUGAUUCUAAUGGGAUAAAGCCUCUUCCUGUUGCACAUGAUGGUUGCUUAGACCAAUCCACAUCAAGCACAUGCAAGAACAGUCAGGCUGAAUGUGGUCCCUGUGCUGUUGCACUGCGAGUCCUUCCUCUUUAUGCCAUGCUGCCUGCAGCAGCUCAACUUCGUGUAUUUGAAGAAAUAAAGGAAGGAGAACGGCUUGUAGUUGUGGCUACUAAUGUGGCUGAAACCUCUCUAACUAUACCUGGGGUAAAGUAUGUUGUUGAUACUGGAAGGGAGAAAGUGAAGUAUUACAACUCUUCCAAUGGUAUGGAAACAUAUGAAAUACAGUGGAUAAGCAAGGCAUCAGCUGCCCAAAGGGCAGGACGAGCUGGAAGAACUGGUCCCGGCCAUUGUUACCGUCUGUACUCUCCUGCAGUCUACAAUAAUAUAUUUCCGGAUUUUUCUCUUGCUGAAAUAUCAAAAGUACCUGUUGAUGGAGUUGUCCUCCUCAUGAAAUCCAUGCAUAUUGAUAAGGUUGCCAACUUUCCAUUUCCAACUCCUCCUGAGGCUACUGCCUUGAAUGAAGCAGAGCGUUGCCUGAAGGCCCUCGAGGCACUUGAUAGUAAUGGAAAACUAACUUAUUUAGGAAAGGCCAUGGCUCGCUACCCCAUGAGUCCUCGCCACUCCAGGAUGCUCCUUACGGUUAUUCAAAUAAUGAAGAAGAAAAGUGAUGCUCGACCAAAUCUAGUUCUAGCAUAUGCAGUGGCAUCGGCUGCAGCCUUGAGCUUGUCAAACCCUUUUGUCUUGCAGUUUGAAAAUAGUGACAGUAAAGGAGGUGACAUAGAGCAGGAUAAAAGUUCUGAAGCCUUGGAGAACAAGAAAGUAGACAAGCAAGAAAAAAUGAGAAAGAAGAAACUAAAAGAAACUGUAAAAGUGUCGAGAGAAAAAUUCUCUAAUCCUAGCAGUGAUGCUCUAUCCAUUGCCUAUGCUUUACAGUGUUUUGAACUAUCCAAAAGCCCUGUGGAAUUCUGCAAUGAGAAUGCUUUACACCUUAAAACCAUGGAGGAAAUGUCGAAGCUGAGAAAGCAGCUGCUUCAACUUGUCAUUAAUCAUGGUAGUAGUUGUGGUCUUGAGCAGGAUUUUUCAUGGACAUAUGGAACUCUGGAGGACAUAGAACAAGUUUGGAGUGUAUCCUACGAUAGGAAUCCUCUUUCAUUAUAUGAGGAAGAGCUCUUAGGCCAAGCUAUAUGUGCUGGUUGGGCAGAUAGGGUUGCCAAGCGCAUUAGAGGAAGUUCUGGGUCAUCAGAAGGAGAUAAGAAAGUUAAUGCAGUUCGGUAUCAAGCGUGUAUGGUUAAAGAAACUGUGUUCCUGCACCGUUGGUCCUCUGUUGCUAAUUCAGCUCCAGAGAUUUUGGUGUACAGUGAAUUGUUGCAAACAAGACGACCAUACAUGCAUGGGGUGACAAGGGUGAAGUCAGAAUGGCUUGUACAGUAUGCUUGCUCUUUAUGCACUUUUUCUGCACCUUCUGCUGAUACCAAACCUUAUUACGACCCUCAAACUGACCGAGUAUUACACUAUGCGAUUCCAACUUUUGGGCCUCAUUUAUGGGAGCUUCCUCCACAUAGUUUACCAAUAAGUGACAAAGUUCUUCGUGUGGUAGUUUUUGCUUAUGCUUUGCUUGAUGGCCAGGUGUUACCGUGCGUAAGAUCUGUCCGUGAGUUCAUGGCAGCCCCUCCUGCAACCAUUUUGAGGCCAGAGGCAUCAGGCCAAAGACGGGUUGGCAAUCUAUUAAAGAAGAUGAAGAACAAAUUGAUAGACAAUUGUGGUAUGUUGAGAGAGGUCUGGAUGGAAAACCCCAGGGAACUGUAUUCUGAAAUAUUGGGCUGGUUUCAGGAGAGUUUCUGCAAGAACUUUGAAGUGCUUUGGUCACAAAUGCUUAAGGAGGUUGUUUUGGAGGCCCAUGAUCGCUUCCCCAAAAGGUUGAAGAAAGUUAAAUUUAAAAAGUAAACUGCUUAUUUGGAUGCCCGACUGGGACGACGACAUAACUGAACUAAAAAUUCUGUAAAAUACAGAAUAUUUUCUUCACCCAGAAAAGGAGAAAAGGAAAUGAUCCAAACACUUGGACAAGCAAAGGACAUGAAUUUGAUCGUAAUGACUGACUUAAAAAGGACUGAUAUGGAGGGAAAAAGUUGCAGUGAGGGUUGUUUCAGAAUCAAAAUUGGGUGCUUCAAAGGAGAUUGUGCACACAAAAAUCACAGUGCUUUUAUGGCUGCAUUAUCUGUUAUGGGUUGAAUGUUGGAGUUGAUAUUGAAGGCCAUUUGUUCAACAAUUGAAAAAUGAAGGCCAAUCCCACCCUGGUUGCAAAUUGUAUGCAAGGAUGUCCAUGGGGUUGCAUGAUUGGAAGACAGCAAGGCAAAAAUGUUGACGCAACACAUGCAAGAUUAAUGGGCAUACGAAGAUAAUGCUGUGAUUCUACUUGGUAACAUUGCAAAGGUUUGCAAUUAAAUUUUAUAAUGAGUGUGUUGUUGGUGCUAUUCCCUUUGUUUUAAUGUUGGAUAAUUCUCCCUGUAAGACAGAUCCAUUUGAAUAUAUAGACUUUUUUGUAAGUAA
Molecule: RNA transcript, 4830 nt
Organism: Ziziphus jujuba (common jujube)
Lineage: Eukaryota; Viridiplantae; Streptophyta; Magnoliopsida; Rosales; Rhamnaceae
Gene name: ATP-dependent RNA helicase DEAH13
Exons: 13
Source: RefSeq, a predicted model, not a curated record